UAGGGAAUCUUCGGCAAUGGACGAAAGUCUGACCGAGCAACGCCGCGUGAGUGAAGAAGGUUUUCGGAUCGUAAAACUCUGUUGUGAGAGAAGAACAAGGACGUUAGUAACUGAACGUCCCCUGACGGUAUCUAACCAGAAAGCCACGGCUAACUACGUGCCAGCAGCCGCGGUAAUACGUAGGUGGCAAGCGUUGUCCGGAUUUAUUGGGCGUAAAGCGAGCGCAGGCGGUUUCUUAAGUCUGAUGUGAAAGCCCCCGGCUCAACCGGGGAGGGUCAUUGGAAACUGGGAGACUUGAGUGCAGAAGAGGAGAGUGGAAUUCCAUGUGUAGCGGUGAAAUGCGUAGAUAUAUGGAGGAACACCAGUGGCGAAGGCGGCUCUCUGGUCUGUAACUGACGCUGAGGCUCGAAAGCGUGGGGAGCAAACAGG
This 429-nucleotide ribosomal RNA is filed under the name Gemmatimonadota bacterium. Its description in RNAcentral is "Gemmatimonadetes bacterium partial 16S ribosomal RNA". It matches the Rfam family "Bacterial small subunit ribosomal RNA", at positions 355 to 776 of the family's 1533-position model. The record is from RNAcentral. Lineage: Bacteria; Pseudomonadati; Gemmatimonadota.